GGAAGUAAAAGUCGUAACAAGGUCUCCGUUGGUGAACCAGCGGAGGCAUCAUUA
This 54-nucleotide ribosomal RNA is filed under the name Fusarium solani. RNAcentral describes it as "partial 18S ribosomal RNA". It matches the Rfam family "Eukaryotic small subunit ribosomal RNA", at positions 1778 to 1831 of the family's 1831-position model. The record is from RNAcentral. Lineage: Eukaryota; Fungi; Ascomycota; Sordariomycetes; Hypocreales; Nectriaceae.